Molecule: ribosomal RNA, 498 nt
Filed under: uncultured bacterium
Lineage: Bacteria
Description: bacterial SSU rRNA
Rfam family: Bacterial small subunit ribosomal RNA
Source: RNAcentral
ACUCAAAGGAAUAGACGGGGGCCCGCACAAGCAGUGGAGUAUGUGGUUUAAUUCGAAGCAACGCGAAGAACCUUACCAGGGCUUGACAUGCAGGUGAAGUGCUAAGAGAUUAGUACGUCUUUUUAAGACACCUGUGCAGGUGGUGCAUGGUUGUCGUCAGCUCGUGUCGUGAGAUGUUGGGUUAAGUCCCGCAACGAGCGCAACCCCUGUGAUUAGUUGCCAGCACGUAAUGGUGGGAACUCUAAUCAGACUGCCGGUGAUAAAUCGGAGGAAGGUGGGGACGACGUCAAAUCAUCAUGCCCUAUAUGCCCUGGGCUACACACGUACUACAAUGGCCGUAACAGAGGGAAGCGAAGUAGAGAUAUGGAGCGAAACCCGAAAAGCGGUCUCAGUUCGGAUUAAAGGCUGAAAUUCGCCUUUAUGAAGCCGGAAUUGCUAGUAAUUGCAGGUCAGCAUACUGCAGUGAAUACGUUCCCGGGCCUUGCACACACCGCCCGU